UAUAAAUUUUCGGAAGAACUUCAAAUACCACCCCUGUGGCCUGUGGUUUCGCACUUUUAUAUAUUACUACCUUAUGGUCUAAAGUGUAUCAAUUUAGUAUUCCGUGGUUUCAUUUUUCUCUUUUUAUUAUCCCGUCCAUUAAUUUUUUUCGUUAAAUUAGUGACAAAGUUAAAACUAAAAAAAUACUAAAGUGAAUAUAUAAUAAACCUAGGUGGGGUAUCUGAAGUUUUUUGUAUAUAAUUUAACGAAAUAUUAAAGGAGGAGCUAAUGAAAAGAAAAAAAUUAAACCAUAUGGUACUAAAUUGAUAUACUUUAAACCAUAUGGUACUAAAAUAAAAAAGUACGAAACUACACGCGUGAUAUUUGAAGUUUACCCUAAAUUUUAAUGUAUAGAUCAGACCCCCUCAAUAUAUAAUAU
Molecule: long non-coding RNA, 418 nt
Filed under: Ananas comosus (pineapple)
Lineage: Eukaryota; Viridiplantae; Streptophyta; Magnoliopsida; Poales; Bromeliaceae
Description: long non-coding RNA (ACOM_LNC006744)
Source: RNAcentral